Lutra lutra (Eurasian river otter) is the source of this 758-nucleotide long non-coding RNA. RefSeq lists it as uncharacterized. The transcript is spliced from 9 exons. The record is from RefSeq and is a predicted model, not a curated record. NCBI's taxonomy places the organism in Eukaryota, Metazoa, Chordata, Mammalia, Carnivora, Mustelidae.
UAAGUAGUUUUAAAAUGUAGUAGAACGUAGAACAUGAAUCUCACUUUCCAGCUUUGAAGCUAUCCAUUGCUUUUCAAUCUAACACAUUCUGAAGCUUGGUACUGAGAAUCUCUAUUGUCAGGAGGAGAAUUGGCUCUGAGAUCUUUUCGUCAGCUACAAAGAUGGACAUCCAAUUCAAUUCCAAAGAUGGAAAGAAGACAUGCAGUUGGGAAAAUAACUACCAAUACCUGGAAAAAUAUGACAAGUGCCAUGUGAUCCAAGAAGAGAGAAAUGACGGCAGGAGUUCAGAUGAUAUACUUGGCUAGGUGAAGCAAUGCUAUGGAAGACAGAGAGAAAAACAUAGCUGAGGACAACUGCCUCCCAUACGUAGGGUCAUCUUCUACCUUCCCAAAGCAACAUUUUAUCCAGUACUCAAAGAUUCUGAAGAUACUGUGAAAUGAUACAUAUCCUGUUUGCAGGUGAGGAAGAUACCAGCUUUCAGCUCAGCUUUACACUUUAAAGAUGCCUCACUGAAAAGAGGACAAAGGCUCUGCCAUCCACCUGUCAUUAUGACCCAGGGAGGUUCAUAAUUGGAGUUCUCCUGAAAAAUGAAAGAAAAAAAAUGGAGCUACAGAUUUGGAUCACUAUUGUCUCAAACUCCUUGAAACUUUUCUGUUUAGUAUGCAAUGGACCCUGCAGAUGGUAUUUGGCUCAUCAAAACCCCCAAAUGGUCAUUAUUAUGGAUACCACCUCUCUACAAAACUACUAAUCAAAUUAAA